GGAAAGAUGGCUGAGCUGGUCUAAGGCGCACGACUGGAAAUCGUGUGUGCCCUAUAAAGGCACCGAGGGUUCGAAUCCCUCUCUUUCCGCCA
Molecule: transfer RNA, 92 nt
Filed under: Clostridium sp.
Lineage: Bacteria; Bacillati; Bacillota; Clostridia; Eubacteriales; Clostridiaceae
Also listed under: 4 other names
Description: tRNA-Ser
Rfam family: tRNA
About the family: Transfer RNA (tRNA) molecules are approximately 80 nucleotides in length. Their secondary structure includes four short double-helical elements and three loops (D, anti-codon, and T loops).
Source: RNAcentral